RNAcentral lists this ribosomal RNA (325 nucleotides) under uncultured eukaryote. Its description in RNAcentral is "partial 18S ribosomal RNA". It matches the Rfam family "Eukaryotic small subunit ribosomal RNA", at positions 1470 to 1796 of the family's 1831-position model. The record is from RNAcentral.
CCCUUAGAUGUUCUGGGCCGCACGCGCGCUACACUGAUGCAUUCAACGAGCCUAUCCUUGACCGACAGGUCCGGGUAAUCUUUGAAUCUGCAUCGUGACGGGGAUAGAUUAUUGCAAUUAUUAAUCUUCAACGAGGAAUGCCUAGUAGUCGCAAGUCAUCAGCUUGCGUCGAUUACGUCCCUGCCCUUUGUACACACCGCCCGUCGCUCCUACCGAUUGGGUGUGCUGGUGAAAUGUUCGGAUCGGCCGUUUGUCGCGGUUUCCGCGGCUCGUGGCUGAGAAGUUCAUUAAACCCUCCCACCUAGAGGAAGGAGAAGUCGUAACA